UCUGUUGGAAGAGUUACUCUCCUGCGGAAGAGGAACUAAAAAGCAACUAAAAACAAAGCAUAAUUAAUAAUUAAAGAGAAGAAGAAGAAAACAAACUUACCUGCGGAAGAGGAACAAAGAACAGAAAAGAGCUUUCACAGUGAAAAUGUGAAAAAAAUGGGUAUAGAGCUUUCACAGCAGAGGAAAGAACGUUUUUUCAAGGGGGAGAAAUAGGUUAAUUUGGUCUUUUAUUAGCCAAAAGCACUUCCAGCGCUUUAGAUGGUGAAAUUUUUAGCUUCUCCAUCUAGAGAGAAGCACUUUUUUGAUGGAGAAAUUUUAAGAGAAAAAGGAGGAUGUUCUUUGCUCCUUUUAAGAGAAAAGCACUUUUGGGUGAAAAAGUGAUUCUCAAACGGGCCCUUAGUAUAUAUGACACAUUUUAGUUUAUGAAAGCAUUCUGUUUCACCGAUGUAGCAUCUUAGUCUUUUCUGGCUUUGUUGCAGACAAGGGAAGGUUCCC
This 495-nucleotide long non-coding RNA is filed under the name Gossypium barbadense (sea-island cotton). Its description in RNAcentral is "long non-coding RNA (GBAR_LNC004376)". Lineage: Eukaryota; Viridiplantae; Streptophyta; Magnoliopsida; Malvales; Malvaceae. The record is from RNAcentral.